This 150-nucleotide small RNA is filed under the name Escherichia coli. RNAcentral's name for it is "QUAD RNA". It matches the Rfam family "Short Intergenic Abundant RNA". From Rfam's summary of the family: This family contains multiple ncRNA from E. coli that were identified in a large scale screen of E. coli, were they were called candidates 43,55 and 61. These RNAs have also been identified by other groups and called QUAD RNAs. The record is from RNAcentral. Lineage: Bacteria; Pseudomonadati; Pseudomonadota; Gammaproteobacteria; Enterobacterales; Enterobacteriaceae.
UUGACACUAAGGGCGGAGUGACAUAAUUUCAGGAGUGAGGGUUAGGGAGAGGUUUCCCCCUCCCCCUGGUGUUCUUAGUAAGCCUGGAAGCUAAUCACUAAGAGUAUCACCCAGGGAAAGAUCAUCAGAAGUUCACUUUUUGUACUAAAU